AAUGAACGUUGGCGGCGUGGAUUAGGCAUGCAAGUCGAGCGAGAACCCGCAAGGGGACAGCGGCGAACGGGGUAGGAAUACGUAGGUAACGUACCCUCGGGGCGAGGACAGCCACGGGAAACUGUGGGUAAUACUCGAUAAACUUCCCAAUCAUUAUGGAAGGGAAGCAAUGGGUGUGAUUCCACCUGAGGAGCGGCUUACGCAGUAUCAGCUAGUUGGUGAGGUAACGGCUCACCAAGGCUACGACGCUUAGGGGGUGUGAGAGCAUGGCCCCCACCACUGGCACUGAGACACUGGCCAGACACCUACGGGUGGCUGCAGUCGAGAAUCUUCGGCAAUGGACGCAAGUCUGACCGAGCGACGCCGCGUGUGGGAUGAAGGCCUUGGGUUGUAAACCACUGUCAGAGGGGAUGAAGUGUACGAGAGUUAUCUCUUGUAUUUGACAGAGCCUCAGAGGAAGCACGGGCUAAGUUCGUGCCAGCAGCCGCGGUAAU
Molecule: ribosomal RNA, 494 nt
Filed under: uncultured bacterium
Lineage: Bacteria
Description: bacterial SSU rRNA
Rfam family: Bacterial small subunit ribosomal RNA
Source: RNAcentral